CGUGAAGGUCGGGAAAGCUGGCCGCAAUACCAGCAUUUCGGAGGAAGAGGCGAGCACAGUAUUGCAAUUCAAACCAGCCUGGUCUACACAGCGAAUUCCAGGCCAGAAGAGGGCACCAGAUCUUAUUACAGAUGGUUGAGAGCCACCAUGUGGUUGCUGGGGAUUGAACUCAGGACCUCUGGAAGAACAGUCAGUGCUCUUAACCUCUGAGCCAUCUCUCCAGCCCGAACUGCCAAAGACUUUUCUACAGAGAAAACUUAUGUGGAGAGAUGGUGAAGCUGGCAUGGUUGUAAUGCUGCUUAUCCCUGCGCUGCCCCAGCUGCUCUUCAGAGGAAACAGUGACAAAUGGGUUAUUCUGUUGUAUGGGUGACAUACUGGUUUUAACUUAAUGUGAUGGGGGUGCUGGGGUUUUUGUUCACGUUUCUAGUACUUCUGUGUAAUAUGACUGCUUAAGAGGCCUAUUGCAAAGACCUUUAAGUUCUCAGCAUUCUUUUGCUUCUCAGGGGUGUUCACCAUGGUCUACAUUUGUGGUAUUUUGUAGCUUAUUAAUUUAACAGGCUGUCAGAGCUGCUGGAAAUAUCUUCUCCUUGAAAUACAGUGCAUGUAGAGGUGUUCCUUAAUUUCAGGUGAGGACAGUGCCCUGGCUUCGUGGCUGGCAGCUGAGUCCUCUUUUACUGUGAGUCAGCCCAGGAAGUCUCUUCACUGCCUCUGUGAGUAGAAUGUGCAAGUCUCUCUUUUUCUGGAUUUGUUUUAGAUAAUAUGAUGUCUAAACUAGGCACUAGUGAUGAAGUAUCUGAUGAUAUUCUCACCGAGUAUCUGGUGGGAAUCCUGAGCCUCAGCUAUGCUCGCAUCAAGCCUUGUAAUUGCUUUUUGCCUUAGUUUACAAUGGAAACUAACAGGAGAUACAGUACAGUUUGUCCUCGAACCCCUUCAUGCACUGCCAAGUCCAGUUCUCAACAGUAUCUGCUAUCUCUUUGUCUUUGUCAGCCAUUUUUCUUGGUGCAAAAGUUUCUCCUGAUGUUUCAACAUCUGCUGCAGGUUUGCCAAAAUUCAAUGUCCUAAUUUCCCGGGAGCCGGGAACUGUGAUGCAAUGAGGAUGUUCCGCUAGGGCAGGUUAGCUAGGGGGUGAGCUGUUGGGUUCUUCCACAGACCCUGACCCUGGCACUGGCUUCAUGGUCAGUGGAGACUCAAGGGCACAAAUGGCACUUGACAUUUUCCCUGCAUAAGAUACUUUGAAACAACCAUAUUUAGCUACAUUAACUAAGAAGGAUGGUAUAGCUGCUAUGUAGAUGUCCUUGCAGAAGGAUUUUGGGGUAAGGUUGAGGUGGCUGUUUGUAUAGGGUGUAGUCCCACUAGAGUCUUUUGUGGUGAUUACUAUUAGACUAAUAUAUGUGAUACUCUUCCCUUAUGACCUUCUGGCUUAAAAGCUUUAUCUGUUUAUGGAAAGAAUGGGUAAACUUUUUACUUUCACAUAGAAUAUUUACUUUUUAUAUAUUUUGAACCCCAGGAACUUGAGUUACAGAUGGUUAUGAACCACCGUGUGGGUGCUGGAUAUCAAGCACAGGCCCUCUAGAACAGCUCGUACUCUUAACCAUUGAGCCAUCUCUCUAGCCCCAUUUUUCAUUUUUAAAAAUGUAAUGAUAAUAGAUGAAAACCAGUCUACUGUAAUAAUGUCUCCAGAACUUAUAGCAGAGUUCUUACCAUUUGACUAAUGUCUCCCCUGACUUCUGGAGACCACUCUUCUGCUCUUGUUUCUGUGAGUUCAACUUUUAAAGAUUCAACUAAGUGAGAUUGUGUAUUGAUUACCUGUAUUCGUGUGUCUGCUUUAUUUCAAUUAGCAUGAUGUCCUCUAGGUUCAUCCUAGAGGUUGUAAAUGACACUAAUUCCUUCAUUUUAAGGAUAGAAUAAGGUCUGAAGAGAUGGCUUAUCGAGUAAGAGCACUCACUGCUCUUGCAGAGGACCUGGAUUCUGUUUGCUGCACCCACAAUGUAAGUGUCUUUAACUCUAGUUCCAGAGGAUCCAGUACCCUCUUUUGUCUCCACAGGCAUCAGGAGAACAUAGGGUGCACACUAUACUUGUAAGGAAAACACUCAUAAAAGGAGUUUGGGAGUGCUCCUCUCAAUUUUUAAAAAUAGUUUAAGGUUUGGCUGUGGAUCUUUUUUGAGAGUCUGGUAGACUCUGCUAUGAACCCAUCUGGCCCUGAAUUUUUUAGCUGCAAGGCUUUUCAUUACCAUUUCAAUGUCCUCAUUUGUUGUGUGUCUGUUUAGGUUGUUGGCUUCUUGGUUUUGUGAUGGUCCUCUCUUUCUUUCUUUUGGUUAGUUGGGACAAGGAUCUGCCAGUCUUUAUUUUCUCAAAAACCAGCUCUUAGAUUUGUUGAGUAUUUGCACUAUUUAUUUCAUUUCUAUUACAUUAAUUUCUGCUCUGAUUUUUAUUAUUUCUUGCCCUCAACUGGUUUUGGAUUUGGUUAGUUCUUACUUUUUCCAAAGUUUGAGUUGCAUCAUUAAGUUUUUAAUUUAUGCUCUUUCUGAUUUUUUUAAUGUAGACAUUUACAGCUGUAAGUUUACCCUAUGGAGUUGAUUUAAAUAUGUCCUAGAGGUUUUGCUGUGUUGUAAAUUUCAUUUAGUUCCAGAAAGUUUUUUUAUUUCUUUCUUGAUUUCUUCUUUGACCCAUUCAUCAUUUAGCAAUGAAUUGUUUAAUUUAUAUGGAUUUUUGUAUCUACAAGAAACUUGUUUGCUGUCAAUUUUAAGUUUUAUUGUAUUAUGGUCAGAUAGGAUAAACAAAACUAUUUCAAACUCUUUGAACUUGUAAGGAUUUGUUUUAUGUCACAAGAUGUGGUCUUAUUGUAGAGACGUGAUGGAAUGCUGCUGAGCAGAAUGAAUCAAAGACCUAAACAUGAGACAGGGAAACUGCUGGAAGAAAACUAGGCAGUACCCUACAUGAUAUAGGUGUAGGAAAGCACUUUUGGAAAAGGACUCCAUUGCACAGGAAUUCGGAUCAAUAAUUGACAUGUGGGACCUCAUAAAACAAGCUUCUGCAUGUCUAAUUAAACAGUCAAGUGAAAAGGAAGCCCAUAGUAGAGAAUUUGGAGGAGAACCUAUAGCUAUAACUUUCCUAAAACAUCUCUAACCACACUAUAUUUAUCCUCAUACCCACAUGUAAGUGUGGUCCUUACCCCUCAUCAAGGAAGCUUUCUGUGCCACAGAUGGAAACCGUUAUGGAAACCAUAACCAAUCAAGUCCCAGUUGAUCCAUCUACAAAGCAACUCCUGGACCCAAGGCUUAGGACACAUCACUGAAGAGUGGACAGAAAGAUUGUAAGAGCCAGGGGAUCAGGGAAUUUGAUGUGAGAGUGUGUCUCCUAGGAAUGUCAGAAGUUACACUCAGAAAGUCUCACCAGCAGGACUGCCCAAACCUGACCUGAAAGGGGCAAUAAUAGACAUGCAAAUAUGGAUGGGGUAGAGACCACAAGGCCUCAACCCUACACAAAGAGCUACAGGAAAUUGAGGAAUGCUGAGAGUGGGAGAGAGAGUGUUCCCCAGGGACGAGCACACCAACUGGUUUAGCAAUACCAAAUGGUCAGCCCUGAAGACAUACAAGCAACAUUGUACAGACUAAGCAAGUUUUAUUUAUGUAUUUAGGAAUAUAUAUGUAUGUAACAACAAUUAAUGAAAAAAAGGCCAUGAAUUUGAAAGAGUGCAAGGAGGGAUAUAUAAGAGGCUUAGAGGGGGAAGAAAAAGGAAGGAGGAAAUGAUGUAAUUAUAUUAUAAUCUCAAAAACUAAAAGAAAUACUUUAAAAAAGCAUUUUCCUUUAUAAUGUUCUAAACUGGUGUCUGUUGUCAUGUUUGCCUGAUCAUUUCUGAUUCUGUUCACUUGUGCUCUUUCUUUCCUUUGGUUAGUUAGGCCAGUGAUCUGAUGAUCUUGUUUAUCUUUUCAAGGAAACAGCCCUGCGAAUUGUUGACAGACUGUCUUGGCCUUUCAUACUAGUGUUUUUGGGAUGAGACUUGGCAUGCUGUUGCUGGUGUGUUUGAUGUGAGCUUAGGUUUAUUUUGUUUCUGUCCAAGAUUGGUUGAUUUCAGAGCAGGUAUGUGGAACUGGUAGGUUGAUCCUUCAGACACUCAGAGUUGAUUUUUUACUAGACUGAGUCCACUUCUGUAUUAAACAAGAAAAUGUGUGAGUGGGACAAAAUGGUUGGAUCUCAUUUGUCUGAUGUGCAAUUCAUACUACUCAAGAUUUAUCUGGGAAUAUGAGGAUUUCAUUGGUAGGCUGGAUAAUUCACUCACCACCUUAGGCUGUUUAUACAGGCUGUGGAACAGAGAUGAAGAUUUGGGAUGGCCUGGAUGUUCUAGGGACUUAACUGUCUGACUGAGGCUUGACCUGAGGAUUGGGGAUAGGAUGAACAACUGAGGUUCUAGGAACUCAUCAGGUUUUGCCAGCACACAAAUAUAUAUCCUAGGAUAGGCAUGGAGGUUAGAUGUGAUACAGGCUGGGUAGAGUUCAGGAGACUCACUAGACUGGAUUAGCACUGGAUGUGUGACCUAGGCUAAGUCUGGAGGUUUGAUAUAGCAUGAGUAGGAUAGAAUCUGGUGACCCCAACACCCACGCUUGGCACAGAAGUUUUGCUUCUGGGUCCAUGCCUACAGAUAGGGAAUGGUAUAAAGCUCUUCAGACUAGGCUGGGACACUCAGCAUAAAAAUUGGCCUGGGUGUGGGAACUGGGGAGGGUGUAGCCAGAAUAGGGUCAGGUGGAGUCAUCAUCACUAGGCCAGGGCACAGGAUGUGGAGCAUGGGCUGGUCCUGGAGAGCCCCAUUAACAUUUCUUUCUUUAGUAUUUCUCCUCUCUUCCUCUCCCCUCCCCUUUCCUCCCCUCCCCUCCCCUCUCCUCUCCUCUCCUCUCCUUUCCUUUCCCUUCCUAUUAAGGCUGGAUAAGGCAACCCAGUAGGAAGGAAGCGUCCCAAAAGCAGGUAACAGAGUCUGAGAUAGUCCCUGCUCCCACUGUUAGGAGUCCCACAAGAUCUAGUUACACAACUGUAAAAUAUGUGCAGUGGACCCAAGUCAGUACCAUGCAGACUUUCUGGUUGGCGGUUCAGUCUCUGUGAGCCCCUGUGCACCCAGGUGAGUUGAUUCUGUCAGUUUUCUUGUGAUGUCCUUGACCCCCCCUGACUCCCCUAAUCCUUCCUCCCCCUCUUCCACAGAAUUUCCUGAGCUACAUCUAAUGUUUGUCUGUGGGUUUCUGCAUCUGUUUCCGUCAGAAACUGGGUGAAGCCUCUUUGAUAACGAUUAGGCUAGACAAUAAUCUAUGAGUGUAGUGUACAGCAGAAUGUCAUUAGGAAUCAUUUUGUUGACUUUUUUAUUUUUUGCCAGUCAUGUUUGGCUCUAUCUUAGGUCUCUGGGAUGUUCAGCCUGUGGGUCCUGGCCCUCCAGGCAGUUUCAGGGGUGGGCUCCCUCUCAUGAUAUGGGUCUCAAGCUGGGCCAGUCAUUGGUUGGCUGCUCCCAUAAUUUCUGCACCACCUUUACCCUAGCAUAUCUUGUAAAAGGGCAAAUUGUAGGUCAAAGGUUAUGUAUGUGACUGGGUUAGGGUUCCAGUCCCUCCAGUGGAAGUCUUGCUUGGUUACAGGAGAUGGCUGGUUCAGGCUCCAUAUCCACCAUUGCUAGGAGUCUUAGCUAUAGAUUUCUAGGAGUUUCCAUUGUACUAGGUUUCUAGCUCAUCUCAGAGAUACCCCCUGACUAUGUUCAUAGCAGCAUUAUUCAUAAUAGAUAGAGAUUGGAAACAACCUAUAUGUCCAUCAACCAAAGAAUGGAUAAAGAAAAUGUGGUACAUUUACACAAUGGAGUAUUACUCAGCUGUUAAAAACAAUGGCAUCAUGAGAUUUUCAGGCAAAUGGAUGGAACUAGCAAAGAUCAUCCUGCAUGAGGUAACCCAAAUAUAGAAAGACAAGUAUGGUACGUACUCACUUAUAAGUGGAUAUUAGCUGUAAAGUAAAGGAUAACCAUGCUACAAUCCAUAGCCUAAGAGAAGCUAAGUUAAAAGGAGGGCAAAGGUGAGAGGGGGCACAUGAAUCUCACUGUGAAGGGGAAAUAGAAUAGAUAUCACAGGUGAAUUGGGGGAGGGGUCUGGAUGAGGGUGGGCAUGGGAACAGGAGGCAUCAGGUA
Long non-coding RNA from Peromyscus californicus insignis, 6148 nucleotides. RefSeq lists it as uncharacterized. The transcript has 3 exons. Lineage: Eukaryota; Metazoa; Chordata; Mammalia; Rodentia; Cricetidae. The record is from RefSeq and is a predicted model, not a curated record.